This 76-nucleotide transfer RNA is filed under the name Bacillota bacterium. Its description in RNAcentral is "Firmicutes bacterium (anaerobic digester metagenome) tRNA-Thr". It matches the Rfam family "tRNA". From Rfam's summary of the family: Transfer RNA (tRNA) molecules are approximately 80 nucleotides in length. Their secondary structure includes four short double-helical elements and three loops (D, anti-codon, and T loops). Further hydrogen bonds mediate the characteristic L-shaped molecular structure. tRNAs have two regions of fundamental functional importance: the anti-codon, which is responsible for specific mRNA codon recognition, and the 3' end, to which the tRNAs corresponding amino acid is attached (by aminoacyl-tRNA synthetases). tRNAs cope with the degeneracy of the genetic code in two manners: having more than one tRNA (with a specific anti-codon) for a particular amino acid; and 'wobble' base-pairing, i.e. permitting non-standard base-pairing at the 3rd anti-codon position. The record is from RNAcentral. Lineage: Bacteria; Bacillati; Bacillota.
GCUGGCGUAGCUCAAUCGGCAGAGCAGCUGAUUUGUAAUCAGCAGGUUACCGGUUCAAGUCCGGUCGCCAGCUCCA